RNAcentral lists this long non-coding RNA (450 nucleotides) under Mus spicilegus (steppe mouse). RNAcentral describes it as "lncRNA (ENSMSIG00000011415.1)". The record is from RNAcentral. Lineage: Eukaryota; Metazoa; Chordata; Mammalia; Rodentia; Muridae.
CUAAACUGGUAGCUGAUGAUAGCAGCCAUCAACAUACUAUGCUGAGUUAAGGAGUUCUGUGGUUUGGGCAUCCCACAGAUAAGAAGAAACCCUUGCUAACUGGAGGAAGGGAAACUUCUUAAUGUGUACGUGGUGUUUUGUAAGAGUGCCUUUGAAUCAUCAUGAUUACCAAAAGGCUGGGAAGACUCUGUCAUGGUGGACCAUUACCACGGGUCUGCUGAGAGACUUUGAAGGAUCGCCGAGUAACUGCAGCGAUAGACUUUCUUCACUGUAAACCCCUGGGGAAUGGAGUUUAAGUACCUAAACUACUGAGAUGUCAGCAAACUAAGUAAGCACGGUGACAGUCACUAUUUUACUAAACAUGGUAAACUUAAAAAAUAUAUAACCGAUGAGACAACAGACUUCUAAAUUUUAAGCUAAAAAAAAAAAUUUUUUUUUUCUUUUUCUGGG